UCUGAUGAGUUUGGCUUUUUACUGCCCGCAUAUUUUGUGGGUAAAGGAUGGAUUGAUGGGAUGAAUAAAGAGCAAGCCAUAAAGGGCCUGACCCUCACAUAUCCUGAUCCCAGGGAUCGAUGGAUCGUUGAUCUGGUGGCGAACGAGUACCUGGGCGACACAAGAGAUCCCAUUCAAGUCCGAGACAUUUACAGAGAGAUGAUGGGCGACGUGAUGUUCAACAUCCCUGCCCUCCAACUGGCAAAAUACCACAGCGGUGAGAC
Molecule: long non-coding RNA, 263 nt
Organism: Sinocyclocheilus anshuiensis
Lineage: Eukaryota; Metazoa; Chordata; Actinopteri; Cypriniformes; Cyprinidae
Exons: 3
Source: RefSeq, a predicted model, not a curated record